Molecule: long non-coding RNA, 1163 nt
Filed under: Homo sapiens (human)
Lineage: Eukaryota; Metazoa; Chordata; Mammalia; Primates; Hominidae
Description: HSALNT0048240
Source: RNAcentral
GAAGGAGAGAAGGGAAGGAAGGAAAAGAAAAGAAAAAAGAAAAUAAAAAGAGGAGAAAGAAAAGGAAAAAUAUGUAUCAGAGAUAGUGGGUAGAUGGCUGCCAAGUCUGAGAUUUAUAACCUGACCCUUUACAGGAAAAGUUUAUAACUCUGCUCUGUACGCUUAACUUCCUUUAAACUGUUUUAUGGCUUACUUGAUUGAUUAGAAUGAAAACUUUAUUUCUUAAUUAAACAAAUAUUUACUGUUAUCAUUCAGGGAGGAUUUCCAAAAGCUGAUGAAAACAGAGAUCCAGAAGCCAGUGGAGCAGCUGCCAGCCUUGGUGCAGGGGAGAGGUGGAAGCCUCACCUCAACGAUGCUGUCGUUCGUCUUGUCAUGGGCCUAGAGUUUAUCCUGUCUGGGUGUACCUGGGAAGGUUCAGUCAGGUUGAAUUGGAAGUGCCUGUGAGUCAUCUACAGAAUUGGAAGUACCUGUGAGUCAUCUACAUGGAGAUGUCAAAUAGGCUGUUGGAAGGUUGGCCCUGGGACCCAGAAAACGAACAAGGAGGAGGAGCCUCUUCUGGAGUCACAAGAGGUUGGCCUCGAAUGUGUAGCCUUGCCUCCCCGAGGACCAGGGCAACCGGCCUGAGCCACAGCGGCUCCAUCAAAUCUUUUCUUCUGCCAGCCCUGGAUGGUGCUUCCAGGGUGACUGCCACCCUAUGUCCUGAGCCCUGAGGAAGACCCUGCUGUGCCAAGGAAAACUAUGAGGCAACUGAGCCAUUGAAAAGGGGCUUGUGCAAGGACGUCUGAUUAAUUUGGUGAAGAAACUGAAGCACAGAAAAGUUAAGUUGCUUGCUCAAGCUCCCAGGGGAGAUCCAGGCUUGGACAGUCUGAUUCAGAAACUUUGCUGAUACCACCAUGCUGUACUGUCCUUCAUGUAUGGGCACACAUAGGCGAUACAGGUCUGAGUCAAGAAAAUUUGACAUCACUUCCUAAACACACACACUCUCCUUUUUCUCCCCAAAUAAAGCAUCUAUAAAUGAAUGUUGUUUCUGUGGUUAGAUGUGUUUGGAGAAUUUUAUCUGCAGAAUCUUCCAAACUGAACAUUGUCUGAUAUUUACUUAGAAGAAAUAAAAACUUCCAUGAACUGAGUGAAAAAUAGUUGUUCAUGUAUAUCACUGAUUGCUG